This 432-nucleotide ribosomal RNA is filed under the name uncultured bacterium. Its description in RNAcentral is "partial 16S ribosomal RNA". It matches the Rfam family "Bacterial small subunit ribosomal RNA", at positions 29 to 507 of the family's 1533-position model. The record is from RNAcentral.
AACGAACGCUGGCGGCAUGCCUAACACAUGCAAGUCGAACGAGACCUUCGGGUCUAGUGGCGCACGGGUGCGUAACGCGUGGGAACCUGCCCUUAGGUCGGAAUAACUCCCCGGAAGGGGUGCUAAUACCGGAUAAUGUCCUUGGACCAAAGAUUUAUCGCCUUUGGAUGGGCCCGCGUUGGAUUAGCUAGUUGGUAGGGUAAAAGCCUACCAAGGCGACGAUCCAUAGCUGGUCUGAGAGGAUGAUCAGCCACACUGGGGCUGAGACACGGCCCAGACUCCUACGGGAGGCAGCAGUGGGGAAUAUUGGACAAUGGGCGAAAGCCUGAUCCAGCAAUGCCGCGUGAGUGAUGAAGGCCUUAGGGUUGUAAAGCUCUUUUACCCGGGAUGAUAAUGACAGUACCGGGAGAAUAAGCUCCGGCUAACUCCGUG